This 255-nucleotide ribosomal RNA is filed under the name uncultured bacterium. Its description in RNAcentral is "partial 16S ribosomal RNA". It matches the Rfam family "Bacterial small subunit ribosomal RNA", at positions 524 to 776 of the family's 1533-position model. The record is from RNAcentral.
UACGUAGGGAGCAAGCGUUGUCCGGAAUCAUUGGGCGUAAAGAGCGCGUAGGUGGCUUUAUAAGUCCGUUGUGAAAGUCAAAGGCUCAACCUUUGAAAGCCGAUGGAUACUGUGAAGCUAGAGUACGGAAGAGGCGAGUGGAAUUCCUGGUGUAGCGGUGGAAUGCGCAGAUAUCAGGAGGAACACCGGUGGCGAAGGCGGGUCUCUGGGCCGAUAUUGACGCUGAGGAGCGAAAAGCGUGGGGGAGCGAACAGG